Molecule: ribosomal RNA, 452 nt
Filed under: uncultured Sediminibacterium sp.
Lineage: Bacteria; Pseudomonadati; Bacteroidota; Chitinophagia; Chitinophagales; Chitinophagaceae
Description: bacterial SSU rRNA
Rfam family: Bacterial small subunit ribosomal RNA
Source: RNAcentral
CGGGGGGCAGCAGUAAGGAAUAUUGGUCAAUGGACGCAAGUCUGAACCAGCCAUGCCGCGUGAAGGAUUAAGGUCCUCUGGAUUGUAAACUUCUUUUAUAUGGGACGAAAACAGACCUUUCUAGGUCCUUUGACGGUACCAUAUGAAUAAGCACCGGCUAACUCCGUGCCAGCAGCCGCGGUAAUACGGAGGGUGCAAGCGUUAUCCGGAUUCACUGGGUUUAAAGGGUGCGUAGGCGGGCAGGUAAGUCAGUGGUGAAAUCCUGGAGCUCAACUCCAGAACUGCCAUUGAUACUAUCUGUCUUGAAUAUUGUGGAGGUAAGCGGAAUAUGUCAUGUAGCGGUGAAAUGCUUAGAUAUGACAUAGAACACCCAUUGCGAAGGCAGCUUACUACGCAUAUAUUGACGCUGAGGCACGAAAGCGUGGGGAUCAAACAGGAUUAGAUACCCCAGU